GUGCCUCAUAUAAACUGCCUCAUUUCUCUAAACUUCAAAUUUUUAUAAAUGGGAAAUAACAUUUUUUUAAUUUACAUAAUUAUAGGACAACAAACAGGUUAAUCUUGGCUGGAAGGCAUUUGGUCAUUAGAACAGAGGAAAUUCAAUAAUCUGAUAUUUUGAAUUGUUUUUGUAACUGAUACAAAGCGGUUUUAAAUAUGUGGUUAAUGAUGCAAGACUUUAAUGCCUGUAUAAUUAAGAAAUGAUUUUUAUAUUUGCAUUUGGCAAAUACAAACUAACUCAUGAAUACAUACGUAAUAACUUAAUAACAGAGUAAUGAUCCUUGUAUGUGUCCAAAUCCACUUAAGACCCAGAGCCCCACCUCCCAAUGAAGACACAUUUAGUACUCCCUGGUUUUUAUUUUGAAACGUUGCUAAUCCUCAGCUUGUCCUCACUGAUGUGAGUACUGGUGAUCUUACUGCUUUCAUUUGAAGCAGAGUGACCACGCCAGGGCCAUUUCUGAAGCCACUGAUAAUGGCUAACAAAAAACUCUCGGCAACGAAUGAGUCUCUGCCCACCAAAGCUACUGAUCCUGCUCCAGCGUAUGGUCAAUAAAGCCCAUUGUGUUCUGGAACUGAUUCUUGGAGGGAAGUUUUCCUGUACAAGCUCUUUUCUUGUCUGCCACCAUGUGAGACAUGCUUUGCACCUUCUGCCAUGAUGGUGAGACCUCCCAAGCCACAAGGAACUGUUAAUAGGCAGAAAGGACUUGCCUUGUCCCAGAUGAGACUUUGGACUGUGGACUUUUGAGUUAAUGCUGAAAUGAAUUAAGAUCUUGGGGGACUGUUGGAAAGGCAUGAUUGGUUUUGAAAUGUGAGGAAGUGAGAUUUGGGAGGGGCUGUGAUGAAAUGAUAUGAUUUGGCUGUGUCCCCACCUAAAUCUCAUCUUGAAUUGUAGCUCCCACAAUUCCCAUGUGUUGUGGGAGAGACCUGGUAGAAAGUAAUUGAAUCAUGGGAGCGGGUCUUUCCCAUGCUAUUCUUGUGAUAGUAAGUAAGUCUCAUGAGAUCUGAUGGUUUUAUAAAAGGGAAGUUUCCCUGCACAAGCUCUUCUCUUGUCUGCCACCAUGUGAGAUGCGCCUUUCACCUUCUGCCAUGAUGGUGAGGCCUCCCCAGUAACAUGGACCUGUUAAGUCCAUUAAACCUUGCCCAGUCUCAGGUAUGUCUUUAUCAGUAGUGUGAAAAUGAACUAAUACAAGGGAGUGCAAGGAUCAAGGCUUUUUAAAAAAGAAAUUGAAAAAAAUAGCAGGAGAGAUGGGGGGCUUGGGGGGGCAGAGAGAGAGAGAAAGGAAGGGAGAGAGAGAGUGAUCCUGAAAGCCAACUAGGAGAAGCAGGGAGGGAUCAA
Molecule: long non-coding RNA, 1377 nt
Filed under: Callithrix jacchus (white-tufted-ear marmoset)
Lineage: Eukaryota; Metazoa; Chordata; Mammalia; Primates; Cebidae
Description: lncRNA (ENSCJAG00000081003.1)
Source: RNAcentral